AAAUGAUGAUACCCAUAUUAGAUGACGAGUCUGAAUGUUUUGAUGCUGAGCGGUUUUCGCGACGCGUCGUUACAUGUUGAGACUCUUUUUAAAUACCAUUCAUGCAUUUCUGAUA
RNAcentral lists this small nucleolar RNA (115 nucleotides) under Lobosporangium transversale. Lineage: Eukaryota; Fungi; Mortierellomycota; Mortierellomycetes; Mortierellales; Mortierellaceae. The record is from RNAcentral.